Molecule: small RNA, 266 nt
Filed under: Arabidopsis thaliana (thale cress)
Lineage: Eukaryota; Viridiplantae; Streptophyta; Magnoliopsida; Brassicales; Brassicaceae
Description: ATSL211240
Source: RNAcentral
AUGAAAUGAGUUAUGGGUUGACCUUACCCAUUUAACCCAUUUAACCCAUUAAUCAUUUAACUUUAAACUCAUUUGAUUAUGAGUUGAGUUGAGUUGGGUUACCCAUUUUGACAUCCCUAACGAAGUAUAUGACGUCAUGUAGUUAACAUCAAAAGGAUAACAUCGCUGGACAAUGGGUCAUUAUUGAAAAAUUUUCUGUGUCUCAGACCAUGGGAGAAUUUAUGGCGAUGAAGCAAUAAUUACCGAAUAAAAAUCAUUUACUCCAU